Molecule: ribosomal RNA, 652 nt
Filed under: uncultured bacterium
Lineage: Bacteria
Description: bacterial SSU rRNA
Rfam family: Bacterial small subunit ribosomal RNA
Source: RNAcentral
GGUGAUGAUACGUAGCCGAACUGAGAGGUUGAUCGGCCACAUUGGGACUGAGACACGGCCCAAACUCCUACGGGAGGCAGCAGUAGGGAAUCUUCCACAAUGGACGAAAGUCUGAUGGAGCAACGCCGCGUGAAUGAAGAAGGCCUUCGGGUCGUAAAAUUCUGUUGUCAGAGAAGAACGUGCGUGAGAGUAACUGUUCACGUAUUGACGGUAUCUGACCAGAAAGCCACGGCUAACUACGUGCCAGCAGCCGCGGUAAUACGUAGGUGGCAAGCGUUGUCCGGAUUUAUUGGGCGUAAAGGGAACGCAGGCGGUCUUUUAAGUCUGAUGUGAAAGCCUUCGGCUUAACCGAAGUAGUGCAUUGGAAACUGGAAGACUUGAGUGCAGAAGAGGAGAGUGGAACUCCAUGUGUAGCGGUGAAAUGCGUAGAUAUAUGGAAGAACACCAGUGGCGAAAGCGGCUCUCUGGUCUGUAACUGACGCUGAGGUUCGAAAGCGUGGGUAGCAAACAGGAUUAGAUACCCUGGUAGUCCACGCCGUAAACGAUGAGUGCUAAGUGUUGGAGGGUUUCCGCCCUUCAGUGCUGCAGCUAACGCAUUAAGCACUCCGCCUGGGGAGUACGGUCGCAAAACUGAAACUCAAAGGAAUUGACG